This is a long non-coding RNA of Drosophila sulfurigaster albostrigata, 790 nucleotides long. RefSeq lists it as uncharacterized. The record is from RefSeq and is a predicted model, not a curated record. Lineage: Eukaryota; Metazoa; Arthropoda; Insecta; Diptera; Drosophilidae. The transcript is spliced from 2 exons.
CCAGAGCAAGACGAGCAAAAAACAAAACUGAGAAAUCAUCGUAAUUUUUACAAAACAAAAAACAACAACAAAAUUGUUUAUUUGGCAUUAACGCAACUUUUUAUGACCGUAAUUCGUGCAAAUCGCUUUCCUUAGUGAAGGUUAACAUGGAAAUGUUCUUUGGCUGCUCGGCAAGAGAGAGAAACAGAAAAAAUGUCUAUAAAUUAUGUAUUCAGUUGCAUGAACAGUUAGUCGAAGCCAAAAAAAAAUACCACGCCAUAAACAAAUUAGCCAAGCUUGCAGUCUGAAGCAGCUUCCCCUCGCCUUCACCUCUCUUUGAACUCGUUGUGCAAUGCAAAACAGAAACUGAAACAGCGACAGAGAAAAAUCUGUGGAGAAUACCUGCCAAAAAGAAAGAAAUGCUUUAUAGCCACGAUAUAGAAAUUGACAACUGAUAAAUCAUCAGUUACUGCAGGCAAUUGUUAUUUUGGCAUUUUGUCAUUUGGGCGUCAAGGACAAACGAAUAAUUAACUUGGCCCCAAAUGGCUGCCAAUGUCGCAACAGCAGCAGCUGACUCUGAAAUUGAAAUUCUCUCAAGGAAAAAGCAACAACCAAAAAAAAAGCAGGCGACGAUAAAUCAAGCAAAACAAUCGAGUGAGAGAGAAGGGAGACAGCUGAUGAGACAGGACAUGGACAUGGACAAAGGACAAAUUGUUGCACAAAAAUGCGUUGUAAUUGCCGAAAUCAAAUGGCCGUAAUUUAGGUUGACAGUCAACGACAACGACAGCAGCGCAGGACAGGACAGAACAGG